This 253-nucleotide ribosomal RNA is filed under the name uncultured bacterium. RNAcentral's name for it is "partial 16S ribosomal RNA". It matches the Rfam family "Bacterial small subunit ribosomal RNA", at positions 524 to 776 of the family's 1533-position model. The record is from RNAcentral.
UACGUAGGUGACAAGCGUUGUCCGGAUUUACUGGGCGUAAAGAGCGCGCAGGCGGUCGAUCAAGUCGAGUGUGAAAGCCCCCGGCUCAACUGGGGAGGGUCAUUCGAUACUGAUCGACUCGAAGGCAGGAGAGGGUAGUGGAAUUCCCGGUGUAGUGGUGAAAUGCGUAGAUAUCGGGAGGAACCCCAGUGGCGAAGGCGACUACCUGGCCUGUUCUUGACGCUGAGGCGCGAAAGCUAGGGGAGCAAACAGG